This 1150-nucleotide long non-coding RNA is filed under the name Cyanistes caeruleus (blue tit). RNAcentral's name for it is "lncRNA (ENSCCEG00000014165.1)". The record is from RNAcentral. Lineage: Eukaryota; Metazoa; Chordata; Aves; Passeriformes; Paridae.
CACUUUUUAUAGCUGUGCCUUCAAUUUUUUGUCUGUCUAGAAGACCGCAUAUGUUAUACAUAACAGCUGAAGAAACAAUUGAAGUGCUACUUUGCAUUCUCAGCCAGGUUAAUUAUCAUCCAGACACCUCCUUUCUGUUGCUGCAGAAAUCAGAAACAAGCACACCAUUUUUUCUCAUUGGGAAAUAAAUACAGACCCUUUUAUGUGGGCUUUAAUUCACUUAAAUUAUUAUCUCAGACAGAAAAUCAGAACAUGGAAGGACAGAGACUGAGGGAAAUCAAAGGAAGGACAGAAACACAGAGAUGGAUGUGUGGAAAGGACUCUUCAUGUUUUCAGGCUAUACAGGACAAAGCAGCCUGGGGAGCCUUCUCUGCCACUACAUGAUGUUGUUUAACUAGAGUUUAUCACUCUUAGCUACCAGGACACCAAAGCACAACUUAAUACCAAAACCAAGGGAGAGGUGAUGGCUUCUUUGGAAUGUUUUGUAUCCCAGACAGACCCACUGAACCUGCCAGCUCUUCCAGGGCACAUUUGAAGACUGUGAGGAUGGGCGGUAGCAGGCUUGCACAAUACAGGGUGCAGGGAAAAGAAAUAUCACAAGGAGAAAAAAAACCAACCCUCUUCAAUGACAAAUGACCCAAUUUGUUCCUCCCCAGUAACUGUGGCAACUUGGUAGAGCUUUGCAAAUCUCUGUCAUUGCUGCUGCUGUGAAUUGGUUGCUUUAAAUGGAUCCUCACUUUUCUUAAAGCCAGGCAUGGCAAAUUGCCUGUAAGUAGUUUUGGGUCAGGUACACCAAUUUUCAGCCUGGAGUUGCAAUUAUUUUUUCCAGUUUCCACUUACUCUCACAUAGCCUCUGCUCAGCUUAGGGAGAGUCAGCAUAUAUAAUAAUUUGCAUUACAAGGAAUGCGAUAGAGCAGUUAGAGAGGAUGGACCUUUCAGAUCAGGUUCCUUUUGGUUUGAUUCUCUUCUGAUACUUUUACUGUGCUUCUCCGGAUCACACCCUCAGCUCCUGCAUUUUGUAGAAUCUGGGCAGCCUUUCAAUUGUCUGACCUUUCAGUAAGCCAUGUUUUCUCCAGAUACUAAAAUUGAAUAUAAUUUCACUCUAUUCAGUAUUAAUAAACUGUAAACAACAUCAUUGCCUAUCCUUGGC